CUUUUAAUGAGAGUUUGAUCCUGGCUCAGGACGAACGCUGGCGGCGUGCCUAAUACAUGCAAGUAGAACGCUGAGGUUUGGUGUUUACACUAGACUGAUGAGUUGCGAACGGGUG
RNAcentral lists this ribosomal RNA (115 nucleotides) under Streptococcus agalactiae FSL F2-343. RNAcentral's name for it is "partial 16S ribosomal RNA". It matches the Rfam family "Bacterial small subunit ribosomal RNA", at positions 1 to 108 of the family's 1533-position model. The record is from RNAcentral. Lineage: Bacteria; Bacillati; Bacillota; Bacilli; Lactobacillales; Streptococcaceae.